RNAcentral lists this unclassified non-coding RNA (4714 nucleotides) under Drosophila ananassae. Its description in RNAcentral is "GF12972". The record is from RNAcentral. Lineage: Eukaryota; Metazoa; Arthropoda; Insecta; Diptera; Drosophilidae.
GCUUAACACUAGCGUCAGCCAUUUUUUUCACGCUCAAAAAAAAGUCGUGGAAAACGAAGAAAAGUUUACGAAAACGGCGCUUAGCGACUCGAAAAAGUUCGUAGAGACCAACCAAAGCAUGCAAAACUGAAGUUCGUGAGUGUCCGCCGUGAGUGAAACAAAUAUCUGAAGAUGGAAACCGUCGUGGCUUUCAACAAUGAGCUCUCCGGACUCUAUGACAGCCGACCGCCCAUAUCCAAGGCCAAGAUGGCUGCAAUCACCAAGUCGGCGAUGCGCGCCAUCAAGUUCUACAAGCAUGUCGUGCAGAGCGUGGAGAAGUUCAUCCUCAAGUGCAAGCCGGAGUACAAGGUACCCGGCCUGUACGUCAUCGACUCGAUCGUCCGCCAGUCCCGCCACCAGUACGGCACCGAAAAGGACGUCUUCGCGCCACGCUUCCAGCGCAACCUUCCAGAGACCUUUGCCAAUCUCUUCCGCUGCGCCCCCGAGGACAAGAGUCGCAUCAUCCGAGUGCUGAACUUGUGGCAGAAGAACAACGUGUUCAAGUCGGAGGUCAUCCAGCCCAUCUUCGACCUGGCCGAUCCCAACCAUCCCAUUUACCACCAGAUGCCGCCGCUGAGUGCCAGUGGUGGGCCCGGAGGCAGCGUGGGUCCCGGCCCGAGCAGUAGCGGUGCCCUCAGCUUGGCUGACCUGUCGAGCGGACCGAACGGUCUCAACAGCUCCAGCAUGAGCAUGGAGCUCAGCUUAAAUAACGCCGCUGCGGAAGACAAGAUGGGCGGAGCCAUGCCCGACCUAUCGCAUGGCCACGAGAAAUACAGCAGUGGUAGUGGUAGCUCCAAGCGGUAUUAUGCGGAGCAGCACUACGCCAAACGUCAGUCGGUGGCCUCAUGCUCGUCCAAGUCGAGCAAGUCGCACCAUCACAAGCGGGAGUACGUCAAGGGCAGUCAUGAAAUCGAGUAUCAAGUGCGGGAGUUCAUCGAGGAAGAGGACGAGGGCAUGCAAAUGAUGAUGGCGGACGAUCACCACUGUAUGGGCGAUGACUCGCCGCCGACUUCAUCAAAACUGCUAGACAACAACAAUCUUAAGCAACUGCUAAACGAUCCAAAUGUGCUGCGGCAGCUACAGACCCUGCAGAACUUCCAGAAGUUUAAGCAGCAGGAGGAGAACCAAAAACACCGCUACCCCGACGACACACUCCAACAGCAUUUCCAAAACGUCUUAAAGAGUUCUGGUGGAAUGCCGCCGGGCAUGGGCAUGGGCAUGGGUAUGGGCAUGGGCAUGAACCUCAACGACGCCAUGGACCUCAACAAGGACGUGGAGUUCAUAUCGGAGCAGCAAUCCAUUGAGGUGAUCAACCUGGAUGGCGCUGAUUCGCGGAGUCCGACUCCGGAUCGAGAUCGCUACAAGCGCAGCCGCCGGAGCAGUCGCAGCCGAUCGAGGUCGCCACGCGGACGAGGAGCCGGCGGUGGAGGCGGAGCUACCGGCACGGAUCGUCGUCGUCGCAGUUCUCGAUCGAGGUCGCGAAGUCGAUCGCCACGUUCCAGCCGCCGGCGAGGAUCUCGCGACCGGGAACGCAGCAACCGGGACAAGGAGAGGGACCGUGAGCACGAGCGUGAGCGGCGGAAGAAGGGCCUGCCAGAUAUCAAGAAGGAGCACCUCAGCGUUUGCAGCACCACGCUGUGGGUGGGCCACCUCUCCAAGCUUGUCUACCAGGAGGAGCUGUCGGACACCUUUGGCGAGUAUGGUGACAUCGUGAGCAUCGACCAAAUCAUACCGCGCGGAUGCGCCUUUAUUGUAAUGAACCGGCGCCAGGAUGCGCACAAGGCCAUGCAGGCACUAAAGAACCACAAGCUCCAGGGACGCGCCAUCACCAUCUCGUGGGCGGCCGGCAAGGGCGUUAAAAGCAAAGAGUGGAAGGACUUCUGGGACUUGGACCUGGGCGUCACUUACAUCCCAUGGAACAAGCUGAGUCCCGACACCGACUUUGAUGCUUUGGAGGAGGGCGGCAUGUUUGACGAAGACACUAUGCCCGGUUGGAUGAACCAGAAGAUCAGCCAGGCCAAAAAUCAUGCAAAAGAACCACAAGUGGCCACAUCCGUCUCGGAGGUGCCCGGACCUGCGGUGGGGGUGCCUCCGCCGGGUCUCAUAUUUGGAAUUGAUACCACACAGCCGCCGCCAGUGGGACCAGUUGGUCCUCCACCCGGUCCGGGAGGACCUCCGCCGGGGCUAAUGGGCAUGGUGCGGGGUCAGUUCCCGAUGGCCCCGCCCAUGGCUCUCAACAUGCCGCCGCCCAUGAUGAUGCCGCCAACUAAUAUGCCGCCGCCAAUUAUGAUACCUACGACCAACAUGCCUCCACCGAUGAUGAUGCCCCCCAACAUGAUGCCUCCAGGCUUUCCAGGUAUGGGCGGACCUCCGCACCCUAUGGGCAUGCCUCCGGGAGCGCCUUAUCCUCCGCCAGGGGCAGUACCGCCGCCCAUCGCUGGCGGCGGACAGCCACCACUUGCCGGUGGCGGACCACCGCCCAUUUCUGGCGGCAUACCGCCUCCGAUUGCAGGCAACGUGCCGCCGCCAAGUAACAACAGCGGCAAUGUGAGCGACGAUCAAAUGGACAUCGAAAUGGACCUGGAGGACGCCCCGCCUCCACCGCCCAAUCAGCAGCAGCAGUCCAUGGACGCGGCAGUUGCGGCCGUGGCCAACGAAAUGUUUCAGCGGGAUAGAGAACGCGACAGGGAUCGUGAUCGAUCGCGUGGGCCAGGCGGUGGGUCACGUUGGGGAGGCCGAGAGGACGUGGCAGAAGCGGCUGAACGUUGGCGUGCAGAGAACGGUGGAGGGCCGGGAGGACCACCUGGGCAGGGCCAAGGACCCAACGCCGCCUUCAAUGAAGCGCGUGCGCGUCUUAACCUAAACCCAAUUGAACACGGAAUGCCAAGACCCGAAUUUAUGGGCAUGGAUUUUGAUAAUCGAGGCGGACCACGGGGAAUGGGACCUCGAAGCGGGAACCACAAUGGAGGACCAGGUGGACCCGGUGUGCCAGGAGGACCUGGUGGACCAGGCGGUCCCGGAGGCGACUUCUUCCCUCCCAACUUGAAUCACAACCGAUUCAAUCAGCCCACUAGCCUGAUGCAAAUGCGCAUCCCACCACCGGCGGUGUUCAAUCAGCGCAUGGGCGGACCAUCUGGCAAUGGUGGCAAUGGAGUCGGCCCCAUGUUCAUGCGGAACCAGGGUGGUGGCGGUCCAGGUGGUGGUGGUCCGGGCGGACGUCAGCAAGGACCAGGUUUCUUCAAUCCUCGAAAUCCCUUCAACGACAACCAACGCGGCGGCGGACGAGGAGGCGGCGGCCGUGGUAUGGGCGGUGGAGGAAGAGGAGGUCGUUGGAGCGACGAUGAAGACGACGGGGGAAACAACUUCAAGCGCCGUGGUGGUCCCGGUGGUCCUGGUGGACCUGGAGGGCCUGGCGGACCCGGAGGGCCCGGAGGUCCCGGUGGCAACCGUUUCAGAGGAGACCGCGAUAUGGGAGACGACCGUCGCGGAAACAAUCAGCGCGGAGGUCGUGGCCAACGUGACGGUCCGCGUGAUGGGCCACGAGAUGGCCCACGUGAUGGCCCUCGCGAUGCCCAGCGUGAUGGCCCAGAUCGUGAGCGUCAAAACUUUGGAAACCGACGCGGUUCGCGAGAUGAUAGCAGCCGUUUCUCAGUAAGUUCGUUGGAAGACGGCACCAAGCCAGCUACAGAAUCGGAGAGCAGGCCCAAGACAGUAGAGAAGACACAAGGACCGCCUGGAGCCACGGGGGCGGUUGACACCGAGGAGGACUGGGAUCGCGAGCUGCAGGACUACGAUGCCCGGACAGAGGCGAAGAAGCCAGAGUCAAGUGCUGCCCAGCCCCUGGAAAGUGUGGAGAGUGAGCCACCGGCGAAGACAGAGGAUUUCGCGAAGCCAGCUGAUGUAGUAACCGAUUCUUCGGAACCGAAGCCCCAAAAUGAUGCUUCACCCGCCUGCACGCCUCUUUAUGAUGAGAUACCAGCACCUGUUCGGGACACGAGAGAGGCAGACGACGAACCGGCAGCUGAGGCUCGGCCUUCUCCACCUCGAUCCCUUCCGGAACCAGAGGUGGUUAUUCACACAGAGGCUGCGCCCAAAGUAGAUUGGGCUCCAGCGCCGGCAGCUGAGCCCCAGGAGGAUGCCUCGACUGCAGAGGAUCCAAGUGAACCAGUUGCCGCUGCCGCUGAUCCAGAUGUGGCCGCUGCUGUGGCUGCUGCCGAUACUGCCGAUGAUGCAACUGAUGCAUAGGACGACCGACGGACGAACCAACCAAGGAACAAAUGGCCCUCUUGAGCAAAUUAAGGCGAAACUUGAGAUUACGGCGCAUUUGUGGACGAGAAUGGAACGGUUGCUUUUAAAUCGGUUACUUCACUAACAGGGGACUUCUUUAAAACUACACACACUUUGUAGUUCAGAUACACAAAUACCGAUAAACAGAAUGUAGCAAAUAAUUAGCAAAACAGAUUGAAUGGACAGGAAAUUGACAGGAGCGGCAUGAAAAGAGCCCAAUCAGAAGAAUCAAUUGCAACGCUGGGAAUGUUUAUUAUUUUGUUAUGUAUUUAGUUUUAAGAGUCUAUUUAACACUCAAAUUGUUUCUAAUGCGCAGAUUUUAGGUACACGCAUAAUAAUGUACAAUUCAAAUACACCUAUAUUACCGGAUACUUUAAAAUAAAUAAAA